GAUCCUGGCUCAGGACGAACGCUGGCGGCGUGCUUAACACAUGCAAGUCGAACGGAGCACCCUUGACUGAGGUUUCGGCCAAAUGAUAGGAAUGCUUAGUGGCGGACUGGUGAGUAACGCGUGAGGAACCUGCCUUUCAGAGGGGGACAACAGUUGGAAACGACUACUAAUACCGCAUGAUGCGUAACUGGGACAUCCCGGAUACGCCAAAGAUUUUAUCGCUGAAAGAUGGCCUCGCGU
Molecule: ribosomal RNA, 240 nt
Filed under: uncultured bacterium
Lineage: Bacteria
Description: partial 16S ribosomal RNA
Rfam family: Bacterial small subunit ribosomal RNA
Source: RNAcentral